CGAGUGGCGGACGGGUGAGUAACGCGUAGGAAUAUGCCUUAAAGAGGGGGAUAACUUGGGGAAACUCAAGCUAAUACCGCGUAAUCUCUGAGGAGAAAAGCUGGGGACCUUCGGGCCUGGCGCUUUAAGAAUAGCCUGCGUACGAUUAGCUAGUUGGUGAGGUAAGGGCUCACCAAGGCGACGAUCGUU
RNAcentral lists this ribosomal RNA (189 nucleotides) under Aeromonas salmonicida subsp. salmonicida 01-B526. Its description in RNAcentral is "partial 16S ribosomal RNA". It matches the Rfam family "Bacterial small subunit ribosomal RNA", at positions 92 to 284 of the family's 1533-position model. The record is from RNAcentral. Lineage: Bacteria; Pseudomonadati; Pseudomonadota; Gammaproteobacteria; Aeromonadales; Aeromonadaceae.